This 209-nucleotide ribosomal RNA is filed under the name uncultured bacterium. RNAcentral's name for it is "partial 16S ribosomal RNA". It matches the Rfam family "Bacterial small subunit ribosomal RNA", at positions 1292 to 1500 of the family's 1533-position model. The record is from RNAcentral.
UUCGGACUGCAGGCUGCAACUCGCCUGCACGAAGUUGGAAUUGCUAGUAAUCGUGGAUCAGCAUGCCACGGUGAAUACGUUCCCGGGUCUUGUACACACCGCCCGUCACACCAUGGGAGCCGGUAAUACCCGAAGUCAGUAGUCUAACCGCAAGGAGGACGCUGCCGAAGGUAGGAUUGGCGACUGGGGUGAAGUCGUAACAAGGUACC